Molecule: transfer RNA, 88 nt
Filed under: Candidatus Eiseniibacteriota bacterium
Lineage: Bacteria; Candidatus Eiseniibacteriota
Description: tRNA-Leu
Rfam family: tRNA
About the family: Transfer RNA (tRNA) molecules are approximately 80 nucleotides in length. Their secondary structure includes four short double-helical elements and three loops (D, anti-codon, and T loops).
Source: RNAcentral
GCCGGAGUGGUGGAAUUGGUAGACACGCCGGACUCAAAAUCCGGUGGGAGUUGAUCUCGUGUGGGUUCGAGUCCCACCUCCGGCACCA